This is a long non-coding RNA of Octopus sinensis (East Asian common octopus), 153 nucleotides long. RefSeq lists it as uncharacterized. The record is from RefSeq and is a predicted model, not a curated record. NCBI's taxonomy places the organism in Eukaryota, Metazoa, Mollusca, Cephalopoda, Octopoda, Octopodidae. The transcript has 2 exons.
UUAUAUUUUAUUCUAGGUCAAGUGCAGAUACCAAUCGAACAUAAAGAUAAUGCAGUUAAAUUGAAUGGUGCGAAUAUUACUAAAAUUCUAACAUUUGCCGCAAUCCUGCUUUUUAUGGUCAAUCUUCAUUAAGGAUCUUGCAAAAAAGAAAAC